AUGGAGAUUGAUAUGAUGAGAAUAGACCCGAGGGCCAUAGGUUUCACUAGUGGCUUCUCUCAAGAGCAUAAGUAUUCUACGGUGGGUGAACAAAUUACUGUUGAGCAAUUGACAGAAUUGAGCAUAGUUAUGAGAAUAUCUAGGCAUGAUCAUGUAUAUAGGCAUCACGUCCGUGACAAGUUGGGCUCUCCUGUUCUUUUUUGUUGGCUUGACGUACGCAUUGGCAACCUCCUGCGUGAAGGAUUCAGCAUGCCUCUAUUUGAGAGAAAAGAUAUGGAGAAGCGGAUUUUCAGAGUAUCUCAGGCACACAAGCUAAAGGUUCACCAAGUUUAG
This 333-nucleotide ribosomal RNA is filed under the name Triticum aestivum (bread wheat). RNAcentral describes it as "partial small subunit ribosomal RNA". The record is from RNAcentral. Lineage: Eukaryota; Viridiplantae; Streptophyta; Magnoliopsida; Poales; Poaceae.